GCGAGAAUAGCCAAGUGGUAAGGCAAGGGUCUGCAAAACCUUGAACGCGGGUUCAAUUCCCGCUUCUUGCU
RNAcentral lists this transfer RNA (71 nucleotides) under Enterococcus faecium. Its description in RNAcentral is "tRNA-Cys". It matches the Rfam family "tRNA". Rfam says of the family: Transfer RNA (tRNA) molecules are approximately 80 nucleotides in length. Their secondary structure includes four short double-helical elements and three loops (D, anti-codon, and T loops). The record is from RNAcentral. Lineage: Bacteria; Bacillati; Bacillota; Bacilli; Lactobacillales; Enterococcaceae.